GACGAACGCUGGCGGCGUGCUUAACACAUGCAAGUCGAACGGAAAGGCCCUUCGGGGUACUCGAGUGGCGAACGGGUGAGUAACACGUGGGUGAUCUGCCCUGCACUUUGGGAUAAGCCUGGGAAACUGGGUCUAAUACCGAAUAGGACCGCGCGCUUCAUGGUGUGUGGUGGAAAGCUUUUGCGGUGUGGGAUGGGCCCGCGGCCUAUCAGCUUGUUGGUGGGGUAAUGGCCUACCAAGGCGACGACGGGUAGCCGGCCUGAGAGGGUGACCGGCCACAUUGGGACUGAGAUACGGCCCAGACUCCUACGGGAGGCAGCAGUGGGGAAUAUUGCACAAUGGGCGCAAGCCUGAUGCAGCGACGCCGCGUGAGGGAUGACGGCCUUCGGGUUGUAAACCUCUUUCACCAGGGACGAAGCGCAAGUGACGGUACCUGGAGAAGAAGCACCGGCCAACUACGUG
This 462-nucleotide ribosomal RNA is filed under the name uncultured bacterium. RNAcentral describes it as "partial 16S ribosomal RNA". It matches the Rfam family "Bacterial small subunit ribosomal RNA", at positions 28 to 507 of the family's 1533-position model. The record is from RNAcentral.